This 5099-nucleotide long non-coding RNA is filed under the name Marmota monax (woodchuck). The stretch from base 448 to 493 matches the Rfam family "Histone 3' UTR stem-loop". Lineage: Eukaryota; Metazoa; Chordata; Mammalia; Rodentia; Sciuridae. The record is from RNAcentral.
UGGUGAUUUCCCAUGGCUCGUACCAAGCAGACAGCGCGAAAGUCCACCGGCGGCAAGGCGCCACGGAAGCAGCUGGCCACCAAGGCCGCUCGUAAGAGCGCCCCGGCCACCGGCGGCGUCAAGAAGCCUCACCGCUACCGGCCCGGCACCGUGGCGCUGCGCGAGAUCCGCCGCUACCAGAAGUCCACCGAGCUGCUGAUCCGCAAGCUGCCCUUCCAGCGCCUGGUGCGCGAGAUCGCGCAGGACUUCAAGACCGACCUGCGCUUCCAGAGCUCGGCCGUCAUGGCUCUGCAGGAGGCCUGCGAGGCCUACCUGGUGGGGCUGUUCGAGGACACCAACCUGUGCGCCAUCCACGCCAAGCGCGUCACUAUCAUGCCCAAGGACAUUCAGCUGGCCCGCCGCAUCCGCGGGGAAAGGGCGUGAGCUCAAGACUCCCUAGCCACCUUCCCAAAGGCUCUUUUCAGAGCCACCAAAGUCCUCAGUGAUAGUGCUGCUCCACAUUGAGUUAGGCUUGGUCUUUUCUUUUCCUCGUGGCUCACGUGAGAAGAUCCUCGGCACCACAAGGUAUUUUUCGUUACUCAAAUCGGUGAACCUUGAUCGGAAGGGCGUCAGGUUGCGGGAACUUGAAAGAGUUAAUUUUACAUUGGCUCUGGAGCCAGGCCGUGUAGUACAGUAGGCAACUGUGGGAAGUGGACUUGUUGUUUGGGGAGCUAUUGGAGAUUGAGCUGAGUCACAUCCCCAGCCAUCACUAAGUUGCUUAGGGUCUCGCUGAAAUGCUGAGGCUAGCCCUGAACUAGGCUAGUCCUCGGCCGCAGCUUCAGGAGUCGAUGGAAUUACAGGCGUGCACUACCGCGCUCCGCUGAGGAGUCCUUUCAAAGGAUGAUUGCUUCCUCCACUAAGGUAGAGUUUGCCAAUAGGUCAUCUUGCGGGUUGUGAAUGCUACAUAGUUGGGUGGCGGACAACUAUCCCUACAGGUUCCCAGGAGGUGAAAUUGUUAUGUUAAGGGAUGGCACCUUUCAGGAAACAGGCACCCCAAAAUGUCCUACCCAUCCCACCCGGAUUCAUGAGCUCAAGUGAGGAAGUUUUACGUCCGUACCUCAGUAACAGGCACGAGACUAUUAGAAUGGCAAAGGAGAAAAGAGAACACACAGAGUGGUCCUUAUAGAGAGGAGAGGGACGGGGUGCGCUCCAGUUUUAUUGGGAAUUCCCAGAGGUUUCCACAAGUCCCCAUCUUUACUUGGGAUUGACAGCCUGGGAGCUGCAUGGACCUUCUCCAAGAUAGGAUGGUGUGAUGUUCAGAAUUGGAAUUUUUAAGAAAAUUGAGAACCCCUGUCAGUUUCCUGCCCCUUCAAUCAGUUUAUUACCUACCCUUUGGACAGCUACCAUCAAGCUUUCUGUGUGAGGGUCCUGAUGUUCUGGUUGCCAGGGUGAUGGGGGUUUGUGACAGGUUUCUGUGAUAAGGGAGGGUACAGGCUACCGGGGAGGCUGUGACUUUGUUGUAGGGACAAAUGCACCAAAGAUAGCAGGAAACAGUUUUAUUUGGCUGCAGCCAGGUUCAGAGGGUAUAGCCUUUGCUGUAAUCAAUCAAUCCCCUGAACCCCAAGUUCAGGGAGUUUUAGGAUUUUAUACCCAGCGUGUAAGGGGAGGGGCUCAGAAGUUCACAUAAAAGCAGCUUUUUCUUUCACUGUUGUGGGCAAGUUAACCCUUCAAGGACAACACCUGAGAAGGGGGGAGCUUCUUCUCCCCUCUUCCCUCCCCCUGCCAGCUGUUACCAUGGAGCCCAAUUGUAACUUAUCUUAAAAAUGUAGACAUCUCUGUGAAGCCCAGCUCAAGGCCAGAGGCCUUGUUUGCACAUUUCUUCAAAAGUUUGUGAAAAACUAGUAAGGGGGUGUCCAGCACCUGGAGUGCUGGUAUCUUCUCGGCCAGUGGCCUAGUAAACAGGGUGACAUGAAAAUAGGAAGUUUAUCUACAUUGGACUCUUGCAGAGACUCUUUUGUUGACAGUCCCCAAAUCAGCCAUGGUGAAGAGGGCUUUUCUGUGGAGAAACGGGGUGCCACUUCAACUUGCUCUUGAAACUAGCUUUUUUUGUUUGUUCAUUUGGUACUGGGGAUUGAACCCAGGGGCACUUUAGCACUGAGCUACAGCCCUUUUUUAGUUUACAGUUUGAGACAGGGUGUCACUAAGUUGCUUAGGGCUCUGAUAAUUUGCUGAGGCUGGUCUUGGGACUAGAAAUCCUCCUGCCUCAGAUGUGACUAUGGGUGAGGGAGGUUUGACAUACCAGGCCCCAUCUUCCAGGUGCGUAUCUGUCAGACGAGUCUCCCUGUGGUUUUCACUCCUUUCCUGCUCUUCCAUUCAGGGCUGAACUAGCUACCUAACAGGUGGGUCUCAUAUUCUCUUACCCAGUACUAUGAUUGUUAAAGUGUCACUCCUGACCUGAAAGAACCAAACCUGAAUUCAGCUGAGCCAGCUGAACCACUGUUACCAGAAAGAAGGACAUGGUCGUGUUCAAAUGAGCAUUCUGGUUCCCAAGAGAACUGACGUUUUGUCUGGCAGUGACUCACCUGAUAAUCUCAUAGGAUAAAGCUCUGAAAUGUACAUUCCCAUGCUAAGAUUGUGAUGUUGUAAAGUUAGCACCUUAGCCUUUGGUCUUAUUUGCAGGAGCCUAGUAGUGCAGCCAUGGGCCUGAGGGGCAAUUCAGGGGCAUUAGGCCAUCUUAACUGUAGGCCAAUCACCUGAUGCUACACUAGUGAUUUACCAGGCAGAAGCCAGAGUGGAUACCACCUGGUACAGACCUGUCUCACCUGGGGCAACUGAAAGCUUCUAAAGACUUGGACCCUUGCAUGACUGAUGUGCAUGAAGUCCUAACCCAGGAGACAAGGUGCUGCCUAACAUCUGUGAAGCUAAGUGGUAACAGUUACACUUUGCUAUUUCUUUUUUCCCCUGUAGAAGAUGCAAGUCAUAGACCAAAGAUUUGUUGUUUUUGCUCGCUGCUUUAUUUCUAGGAUGGAUUGCUAAUUUGCUAUCACUCAGGCACAGAUUGCUCCAACUCAGCCCUCCAAAGGCUUUAGGAAAACAGAAGAUUCCAUUUUGGAAAAGACAUCAAUAGCCAGGGCAGAAGGCCUGAUUUCCUUCAAUGGAAAAGACAGACACACAGGCCCAUGCAAAGGUCUUCCUGCUCUAUUUCAAGGACACUGGCUGGGAUUUUAGAGUCUUCUGAGGUCUGCUGUUUCAAAUGGAAUGCACACUUAAGUGUGAACUUAGAAAUUAUGGUUUCGUUUGAUGCUCCUUCCUUCAAAAACUGGAGCCUAAUUCUAGUCCCCUGCAUGUACCCUGAAUUUAGAGAUGAGCUUCUAAGGAAAAAAAAGUCCCACCGCUUAAAGAGGAGGUCAUGACAAGCACUGUACUUCCUACUGGCUAAAUCUAGAUGCUCUGGACCCCAGGGGCCAUGUGGAAGAACCCUCCAGCAACCCCUUGGAGAGGCCUGCCUAUUAAGAAAGUGAGGCCUUCAACAGUCAGCCAAGAACUAUAGCCAGGAAGUGAGCCAGUUCUGGCCCCUGUCACGCCUCAGAUGACUAUAGCCCCUGCAACAAGUGGACUCUGCACUUCCUGAAAUACCCCAAGCUAGACCCCACAGAGCUAAACCACUGUGUACCUCAUCUUCAGAAGGUGAGAGAGAGUAAACUUGCUGUUUUAAGCUGCUACAUUUUUUAGUAAUUUGUUUCACAGUGAGUAACUGAUGAGACAGGAGAGUCAGGAGUCAUCCUAAAGAAUCAAGUAGCCCAGGUGGGAGGAGUGCCCACAGCUUGGUCCCUGGCUACAGGGAAGUCUGGUCCACCGGACCUCUCCUUUCCUUCCCAGGAAUCUGCAGGAUUUAUUUGUGUUGCUAUCCAGAGGCUGAAAACUAGCCUAGUACACUAAGAAUUCAGGAGGAGGAGGAAAGCUGUGGCCUCUCAGGCAGAGAAGCUGUGCAGGUAAGCACCUCUGGCUAGCAGCUUUGAAGGAGAAAGAAAUCUUUAAGUUUUUCAGUUCACUUAGAAAUGAGUAAGACUCCAAGAAAUCAAUGUCCCUGUGAACAAGUAUUGACUUAUUAAACCAGUAUUCUAUUUUGUUUUAAUUUGCCAUUUCCAAGGAAACUGGCUAAGAAUUAACUCAGUUAAGAGACUGCAUGUGCAGGAAGCCUCUCUGACCUUGCCCUGUUAGUGCUAACAAUUGUUUCAUGCCCUUCUCUUUUAAGCUUUCCCACAUUUACUAUCACAUCUGACUAUUAAAGGAACAUUGUGAGGUAGGCACACAGUUAGGGUGUAGCUCAUUCAUGCAGGGAAGGGGUGGGGGGGGGGGCUUGGCACAGAAAAUGUUCUUGGUGCAGGUGGCCCAGGCAUUAUGGCUGCACCCUCCAGUUUUUGAAAAAUUUCUGUGUGUCAGAGGUACCAUCUCUAGUGGUCCUACUACUUGUUAAAUAAGCCUUUACAAAUCGUUAUUCUCCUUUUUCUACAUCCCACACAAAUUUAUACCAAUGCAGGGGAGGAGAAAUAUCUUCCUUCUAUUUAAAUUCAUAGGCCAGAGCUUCUGUAACAAAAGAUUAAUGAGAGAAAAGCAUGCAAAUGUAUUAAAUGUAAAUUUUGUAUGAACAGUCUUGUUAAGGCAAUGAGUACUACCAAAAAAAUAUAAGUCCUCAUGCCAAUCCAAUAAUGAGGACACAACUGUAAGGAAAAGAAAAAAAGAAGUCUUAUUGCUUUGCUAGCAAAGGAGAAAUACAGGGGACUUCUACCCCAGAGACUGUGAUUCUGCCUGUCAUGGGAAACAGGACUUUUAAAGAGGGGAUUCAAAGGCUACAUUCUAAGCUGUUCUUUGUCAUGGGUCAUAAUUCACAUGUAGCAUUUCUUAGACUUGGGGCCAUCCCUGAAGUCUAAAUUACUUCAUUCCUGUGGUACAUAAGCUCAAGGACAGGUAACCUGGCCUAGGAUGGGAAGAAAAGUGAUCUUGAUUCCCCAAGGUUAGGGAGGGGAAGAGGGAAAAGAGGUGAGGGAAGGGGAUAUCAGUUUUAAAAUAAGCCUCAGUGGCAGAACAGUGAAGCAUGAAAUGAACCUGUUGCAUUUGGA